UAAAAGUUUUAUUUAAGUUUAAAUUUUAGUUUAUUAAUUUAUAUAAAUGUAAGUUUUAAAAUUAACAAUAUUUAAAUAGUUUUGUUAUUAAAAUGCAAUAUAAAGUUUUAAAAAUUAAGAUAUUUUAGAUUUAGAAAUUUAAUUUAAUAUAAACAAAAUUUGUGCCAGCAGUUGCGGUUAUACAAAUUAUAUGAAUUAAAUAUAUUUUAAUUAAUUAAAUGAAUAUAUUUUAUUAAUUUAAUUAAAAAUUUUUUAAGUGAAAUUUAAAUUUUUUAUUAAAUUAAUUUUUAUUUUUUGAUGUUAAGAAAUUUAGUAUUAAACUAGGAUUAGAUACCCUAUUAUUAUAAAUUUAAUAAUAAAUUAAAAAUCAGUAAAAGUUAUAUACUUUAAAGUUAAAGAUUUUGGCGGUAUUUUAGUCUAUUCAGAGGAACUUGUUUUUUAAUUGAUAAUCCACGAUUUAAUUUACUUUAUUUUUAAAUUUAUAUAUCGUUGUAUUAAAAGUAUUUUAAAAGAAUUUAAAUAUUUAAUUAUUAUGAUUAAAAGAGAAUUCAAAUCAAGGUGUAGUUUAUAAUAAAGUUAAAAUGAGUUACAAUGUAAAAAAAAUUAAAUUUAAAUUUUUAAAGUUUAAUGAAAUUGGAUUUGAUAGUAAUUUUAUUAAUUUAAUAAAGUGAUUAUGCUCUAAAAUAUGUACAUAUUGCCCGUCGCUUUCAUUUUAUUUGAAAUAAGUCGUAACAAAGUAGAUUUAUUGGAAAAUGAAUCUUGAUAGAUU
RNAcentral lists this non-coding RNA (769 nucleotides) under Tenebrionoidea sp. 22 KM-2017. The record is from RNAcentral. Lineage: Eukaryota; Metazoa; Arthropoda; Insecta; Coleoptera.